UACGUAGGGUGCAAGCGUUGUCCGGAAUUACUGGGCGUAAAGCGUGCGUAGGUGGUUUGUUAAGUCUGUUGUGAAAGCCCCGGGCUCAACCUGGGAAUGGCAAUGGAUACUGGCAAGCUAGAGUGCGGUAGAGGGUAGUGGAAUUCCCGGUGUAGCGGUGAAAUGCGUAGAGAUCGGGAGGAACACCAGUGGCGAAGGCGGCUACCUGGACCAGCACUGACACUGAGGCACGAAAGCGUGGGGAGCAAACAGG
Molecule: ribosomal RNA, 253 nt
Filed under: uncultured bacterium
Lineage: Bacteria
Description: partial 16S ribosomal RNA
Rfam family: Bacterial small subunit ribosomal RNA
Source: RNAcentral